Molecule: ribosomal RNA, 468 nt
Filed under: uncultured bacterium
Lineage: Bacteria
Description: partial 16S ribosomal RNA
Rfam family: Bacterial small subunit ribosomal RNA
Source: RNAcentral
GAUGAACGCUGGCGGCGUGCUUAACACAUGCAAGUCGAACGGAAAGGCCGAAGCUUGCUUCGGUACUCGAGUGGCGAACGGGUGAGUAACACGUGGGUGAUCUGCCCUGUACUUCGGGAUAAGCUUGGGAAACUGGGUCUAAUACCGGAUAUGACGAUCUCUUGGAUGGGGUUGUGGAAAGCUUUUGCGGUAUGGGAUGAGCUCGCGGCCUAUCAGCUUGUUGGUGGGGUAAUGGCCUACCAAGGCGUCGACGGGUAGCCGGCCUGAGAGGGUGUACGGCAACAUUGGGAAUGAGAUACGGCCCAGACUCCGACGGGAGGCAGAAGUGGGGAAUAUUGCACAAUGGGCGCAAGCCUGAUGCAGCGACGCCGCGUGGGGGAUGACGGCCUUCGGGUUGUAAACUCCUUUCGCAAUCGACGAAGCCUUUUGGUGACGGUAGGUUGAGAAGAAGCACCGGCUAACUACGUG